Molecule: ribosomal RNA, 806 nt
Filed under: uncultured Pelagibacteraceae bacterium
Lineage: Bacteria; Pseudomonadati; Pseudomonadota; Alphaproteobacteria; Candidatus Pelagibacterales; Candidatus Pelagibacteraceae
Description: bacterial SSU rRNA
Rfam family: Bacterial small subunit ribosomal RNA
Source: RNAcentral
ACGCUGGCGGCACGCCUAAUACAUGCAAGUCGAACGAAGUAGCAAUACUUAGUGGCAGACGGGUGAGUAACAUGUAGGUAUCUACCCUAUGGUGAGGAAUAACACGAGGAAACUUGUGCUAAUACCUCAUAAGUCUUUACAGAGAAAGCUUUAUGCGCCAUUGGAUGAGCCUGCACUUGAUUAGUUUGUUGGUAGGGUAAUGGCCUACCAAGACUUUGAUCAAUAGCUGAUUUGAGAGGAUGAUCAGCCACAUUGGGACUGAGACACGGCCCAAACUCCUACGGGAGGCAGCAGUAGGGAAUCUUGCACAAUGGGGGAAACCCUGAUGCAGCGAUGCCGCGUGAGUGAAGAAGGCCCUUGGGUUGUAAAGCUCUUUCGUCGGGGAAGAAAAUGACUGUACCCGAAUAAGAAGGUCCGGCUAACUUCGUGCCAGCAGCCGCGGUAAUACGAAGGGACCUAGCGUAGUUCGGAAUUACUGGGCUUAAAGAGUUCGUAGGUUGUUAAAAAAGUUGGUGGUGAAAUCCCAGAGCUUAACUCUGGAACUGCCAUCAAAACUUUUUAGCUAGAGUAUGAUAGAGGAAAGCAGAAUUUCUAGUGUAGAGGUGAAAUUCGUAGAUAUUAGAAAGAAUACCAAUUGCGAAGGCAGCUUUCUGGAUCAUUACUGACACUGAGGAACGAAAGCAUGGGUAGCGAAGAGGAUUAGAUACCCUCGUAGUCCAUGCCGUAAACGAUGUGUGUUAGACGUUGGAAAUUUAUUUUCAGUGUCGCAGCGAAAGCAUUAAACACACCGCCUGGGGAGUACGACC